UGUUAUUGACAUUGUAGUGCAUCUUACUGAGUAAUUGUUUUUGUAAUUGAUGUCAUGGAGAGAGAAAAGUGGAAUAUUGCUCGUAGCAAUUUAAGGAAAAGGGCUGUUGAUGUUAAAGACACCGUCUGGAGAGUGAUGAAACACUGCUUGACCAACGCUUUAGCGAAGCAGCUCAACUGGUGGGGAGUGAAUGGAACUGUCAGAAAGAACUCACUAACAUCGACGGCCACUGACCAAGAAAUAGAAUUAUAUAUUAAAAAAUGGCUUCACCUGGCUGGUGACCGUGAUGGUGGGAGACGCGAAAGAGAGAAACGGAGGAGUGCCCAAGAUACACGCCCGCAAGACUGCCAUGGAGCUGAUGGGCCCAGUCAAGGAGUUCAUUAAAACGUGUAUUUGGAUGGUUCCUGUCUAAUUAAUAGUCUUAUAAGA
This is a long non-coding RNA of Triplophysa dalaica, 429 nucleotides long. RefSeq lists it as uncharacterized. The transcript is spliced from 3 exons. NCBI's taxonomy places the organism in Eukaryota, Metazoa, Chordata, Actinopteri, Cypriniformes, Nemacheilidae. The record is from RefSeq and is a predicted model, not a curated record.